CACACAAAACACACAAAGCACACAAAGCACACACCUGCACCUGUGCACACGGCGGGAGAGGGGCGCUACGUGCGUGCGCGUGUGUUGAGAAGAUGGCUCAGCCUGGACAAAAAACAUUCGGCUGAGAGGGAACUUGAAAUGAAAGGAAAACGCAACAAACAACAACUUUGUUGAUCUUAUGAGGGAAAUGAAGCUGUCACAGCAGCGAUUCAAGGCAAAAAGAAAUACGAAGAGCAGCAUUGAGGAGGGAUUUCAAGAAGAGAAGAUGAAGCGGUUGUUGUUGCUUCCUCAACAGCAUCCGUGUUGGGCAAACAACCCCCGAGAUCACGGAGAAACCGGAAUAACGACUCCCAGGUCCAAACACACAUGCGGCUGCACCGUAACGGGUCGCCUCCACUGCGACACGUUCCGCUUGACACACACAGGCGCUCGCAUCGGUUGAGCUCCUGCGAUCGGUAAGCGGCUGAAAAUGUUUCUUGUGAGAUAGGCCGGCGACCCUCGUGAGGAUAAGCGCUACGGACAAUGGACGGAUGGAUGCUAGAGAGAGUUUUCCUGUGACGUUGCCCGGAACACCUCACCGGGGAGGGGAGGCGUCCGGGAGGCAUCCGAAUCAGAUGGCUCCUCUCGAUGCGGAGGAGCAGCGGUUCUACUCUGAGAUCCUUCCGGAUGACCGAGCUUCUCGCCCUAUCUCUAAGGGAGAGCCCGGAUACUCAUUUCUUACUUGAACUCCUCCACUUGGGGCAGGAUCUCAUCCCCGACCCGGAGAGGGCACUCCACCCUUUUCCGACUGAGGACCACGGUCUCCGAUUUGGAGGUGCUGAUUCUCAUCCCAGCCGCUUCACUGCUCCAGUGAGAGUUGGAGAUCACGGUUUGAUGAAGCCAACGGAACCACGUCAUCUGCAAAAAGCAGAGAUGCAAUACUGAGGCCACCAAACCGGACCCCCUCUAUGCCUCGGCUACGCCUUGAGAUUCUGUCCAUAAACGUUAUGAACAGAAUCGGUGACAAAGGGCAGCCUUGGCGGAGUGCAACCCUCACCGGAAACGAGUCCGACUUACUGCCGGAUAUGCGGACCGAACUCUGACUCCUGUCGUACAGGGACCGAACAGCCCGUAUCAGGGGGUUCGGUACCCCAUAGUCUCGAAGCACCUCCCACAGGACUCCCCGAGGGACACGGUCGAACGCCUUCUCCAAGUCCACAAAACGCAUGUAGACUGGUUCACUAUCCGGCGGAAACAGUGCACCAUCGACACUGUGUACAGUGGGGAUGGGGCCCCGCUGAGCUCGACACGGGACAUUGUGCGUCGGUGGGGAGAAUACUUUGAAGACCUCCUCAAUUCCACCGACACGCCUUCCCAGGAGAAAGCAGAGUCUGGGUUCUCUGAGGCGGGCGCUCCUAUCUCUGGGGUUGAGGUCGCCGAGGUGGUUCAAAAGCUCCUCAGUGGCAUGAGAUUGGCCCGGAGUUCCUACAGGCUCUGGAUGUUGUGGGGCUGUCCUGGUUGACACGUGGACAUCGGGGACAGUGCCUCUGGAUUGGCAGACUUGUUAAGAAGGUUCCAACCUCCUCAGCCUCCCUGGUAAGGGAGGAGGGUCCGUCGGGAAGGCGAAUGUCAGAUCCAGGAGGAGCAGUGUGGUUUUCGUCCUGGCCGUGGAACAGCAAUAGUAAUCAUUUUCAGAAAGAAAAGGGGAAAAGUGUUUAUUGCCUCUUCCAGCAGCACGAGAACGCUUUACAGCUGCAGGCGCAACAACACGGCAACAACGCAACUUCGCAACUUCGCAACACCGUAAGACCAAAACACUGCGUGGAUUUGUCUUGUUUUUCCAAGGAGGACAGCAGGUGGCGGGCGCGUAAUCAUCAUGAACGUCGACAAAGCUGCUGUUAUCGUGUCAGACUCCCAUCCAGUCAACCGGAGCAGAUGGAAAUGACGUUUGCCGCACAUUGAAAUGAGAUUUUAUUUGAUGUUCGCAUUUCACCUGCUGCCUCAUUUGAAUAUGCAAAGCAGGAGAACGCUUUGUUCAUUUUCCUGCUAAACAGGAGGGAGUCCGUUCACACAUUGGAGAAACAAACAACUUCGACCAAAAGAUGGUUGACAUUUCCGACACAAUUUCAUCAAAGAAAAUGCAAACGAUUGGCCGACGUGCAGACAUGAGCGCAUUGCGACACCAAGACAAAUAACUUCCAAAAAUAAAUCUCCAAAAAGUCAUUGAAAAUAGGAACAUGGAGCUCAGCGGACGCUGUUGAGGAGAAAUGACCAAACAUAUGGAUGUAGGUUGAAAGAUGUAAGCUUGGAAAGGUAUUUAUAGAAAAGGUUACAAACAGAAGAAAGUCAUAGAAUAUCAAUGUUAUUUAUUCUUUAUGUUUUGUGAAAUAACAUUUGAAUGGAUAAUGUCCAGAUCAUUUUGCUGAUUUUUACUAUUUUUCAAACAAAAGAUGAUGAUCGUGAUACGAAAAUCAUAAAAUGAUGUCCAUUCAUUCCUUUUUUCAUACCACUCCGACUCCAUUUUGAGGGUCGGACGAAACAUGCUGGUCUCCGUGGCGACACAAGCAAGACGAGCGUCGAUGUUGAGUGUCCACCGUGACCACGGGAGCACGUCCGCAGAAGCUACAAACAUCUUUAGCACUCGAAUAAAUACAACAACAAAAAAAAAACCUCCAGACUGGUCCAAAACAUCACACUGGGUUCUUCAGCUUGCUGGUUCUUGCUGGUUCUUGCCUGAUGCUAACUUCAAGAACAGCAGAGGAGCUCUGGGCGACGGACCUGGGUGCGGCCGCCGAGUAGGCCACGCGACUGAGGGGGUGCGCGGCGGCGUACCUACCGGCCCUCUCCUCGCGAGGGGGGCAGCUGCAGCACAGGAUGGCCCCCCCGAUGAGCAGCAGGGCGGCGGCGGCCCAGCCCAGGUAAAGCGCCGCCCCGAUCUCCAUCUUCUGUCCCGACAGGACGAUGGGGCUGUAGAACUCCACCACGAUGGUGUUGGCCGACCAGGAGACGGGCACCA
Molecule: long non-coding RNA, 2995 nt
Organism: Phyllopteryx taeniolatus (common seadragon)
Lineage: Eukaryota; Metazoa; Chordata; Actinopteri; Syngnathiformes; Syngnathidae
Exons: 3
Source: RefSeq, a predicted model, not a curated record